This is an RNA transcript of Oncorhynchus keta (chum salmon), 3460 nucleotides long. It is a transcript of the gene named histidine ammonia-lyase-like, with no coding region annotated. The record is from RefSeq and is a predicted model, not a curated record. The transcript is spliced from 6 exons. Lineage: Eukaryota; Metazoa; Chordata; Actinopteri; Salmoniformes; Salmonidae.
UGUAAGAUGGCGCUGAAGAAGAAGGCAGACUUUCACAUGCCCCCAGCCGAUUGUGUUGGUUUUUCUAGUUUAUUUGCGUUGUUUGUAACUUAUUUUUUAAACCUAAUUUGUACAUAAAUAUUGUCGCUACCGUCUCUUGUGACCGAAAAUAACUUAUAGACAUCAGGAUUGCAAUUACUCACAAAGGACUAGCAAAAACCUUUUUUUCCCUUUCAUGACUCUGACGAGCCCGUUGCGAAGGAUAUACUGCUUCCUUGGGAACAGGCCCAGAUCCCCGUUAUCUGUGUGAAAAGGAUGCAGAGAAAGAGGGGCCGAAGGGCUGGCUGCUUUCUGAGAAUUUGUAGGUGAUCGAAUAAACCCUUUACUUCCCUCCAUUCUGCUAGCAAAUGUGCAAUCCUUGGAGAAUAAAAUCGGCAAGUUACGCGUAAGAUUAAACUACCAACGGGACAUUAAAAACUGUAAUAUCUUAUGCUUCACAGAGUCGUGGCUGAACGACGACAAUAUCAACAUACAGCUGGCUGGUUAUACGAUGUACCGGCAGGAUAGAACAGCGGCGUCUGAACCCCAUGGGCAGUGGCACAAGAGGAAUCAAAGAAACACAAGACUUGCUGGCAAUCGCCAGGUAGGCGGACAUCAUCGCUGCUAUCACCCUGGAAGUGCUCAAGGGGACCUCGAAGGCCUUCGACAGCGAUAUCCACGCCCUGUGGUGCCAUCCAGGACAGAUAGAAAUGGCCAAGAGGUUCCGCACCCUACUGGACUCAGACCACCACCCCUCAGAGAUCACAGAAAGCCAUCGGUUCUGGAGUCCAGGAUGCCUACACUACACUCCUCAGGUGACUUAACAUGGGGUCAGAGUUCAACCAAUGGAAAUAUAAUGACUCGAAUGGAUAUAUCCCAUUUUAUUUCAAUGGUUCAACCAUUCUCACUCAACCUCGUCUGAAUUAUCUUCUUGCAUCCCAGGUCCACGAUAUUGUCAACAACACAAUAGACUUUGCCCAGAAAAGUAUCAAUACAGAGAUCAACAGUGCCUCUGCCAACCCUGUGCCCUUCGCUGUGUGUGUGAGCUAUUCACCAACUAUUCCCCAAACCAAAUUUGACAAUUCUUACCUUCAGUGCUAGUUUUAACCCUCAUGUCUGAAUCAAAUAGUGUUUGCAGAGAGAGGGGAGACCAUCUCUGGAGGGAACUUCCUUCCUUUACCCGGGAAAAGGGCAUCAAAGGAUUCUGGUGGACCUAGUUCUGAGUUUUUCUGCAUUUUAAAACGAAGUGAGACGAUAGAGGACAUACAGUUGAAGUUGGAAGUUUACAUACACUUAGGUUGGAGUAAUUAAAACCCGUUUUUCAACCACUCCACAAAUUUCUUGUUAACAAACUAUAGUUUUGGCAAGUCGGUUAGGACAUCUACUUUGUGCAUGACACAAGUAAUUUUUCCAACAAUUGUUUACAGACAGAUUAUUUAAUUUAUAAUUCACUGUAUCACAAUUCCAGUGGGUCAGAAGAUUACAUACAAAGUCUGUGCCUUUAAACAGCUUGGAAAAUUCCAGAAAAUGAUGUCAUGACUUUAGAAGCUUCUGAUAUGCUAAUUGACAUAAUUUGAGUCAAUUGGAGGUGUAACUGUGGAUUUAUUUCAAGGCCUACCUUCAAACUCAGUGCCUCUUUGCAUGACAUCAUGGGAAAAUCAAAAGAAAUCAGCCAACAAAUUGUAGACCUCCACAAGUCUGGUUCAUCCUUGGGAGCAAUUUCCAAAUGCCUGAAGGUACCCUGUUCAUCUGUACAAACAAUAGUAUGCAAGUAUAAACACCAUGGGACCAUGCAGCCAUCAUACCGCUCAGGAAAGAGAUGCGUUCUGUCUCCUAGAGAUGAACGUACUUUGGUGCGAAAAGUGCAAAUCAAUCCCAGAACAAUACACGGGGGAAGAUGGCCGACACCUGGAGGGGGUGGAGACAAGCACAAAGACAGGUGAAACAAAUCAGGGUGUGCCAUAUACAAGCAGCAAAAAUAAGGACAUAUUUUAAUUGGUUCUAGUCUGGGCUGGGGCAUGCCUGCACAAGGUUUCAAUUAAGCAAAAAUCGCUGAAGUUGGAGACUUUUAUCUCCCUCACCAAAUUCAAACAUCUGCUAUCUGAGCAGCUAACCGAUCGCUGCCGCUGUACAUAGUCUAUCGGUAAAUAGCCCACCCAUUUUUACCUACCUCAUCCCCAUACUGUUUUUAUUUAUUUUAUUUUCUGCUCUUUUGUACACCAAUAUCUCUACCUGUACAUGGCCAUCUGAUCAUUUAUCACUCCAGUGUUAAUCUGCAAAAUUGUAAUUAUUCACCUACCUCCUCAUGCCUUUUGCACACAAUGUAUAUAGACUCUCCUUUUUUUCUACUGUAUUAUUGACUUGUUAAUUGUUUACUCCAUUGUGUAACUCUGUGUUGUCUGUUCACACUGCUAUGCUUUAUCUUGGCCAGGUCGCAGUUGCAAAUGAGAACUUGUUCUCAACUAGCCUACCUGGUUAAAUAAAGGUGAAAUAAAAAAAUAAAGAAAGAAAACGGUUGAAUAGUUUCCCCGCCACGAGCUUUCUUGCUAUGGAGCUGCUAGCUGCCUGCCACGGCAUCGAGUUCUUCCACCCCCUGCUUACCACAACACCAUUGGAGAAGGUCUAUGACCUGGUACGCAGUGUAACCAAAGCCCUGGAUCAAGGAUAGGUUCAUGUCACCAGACAUCGAUGCUGUCCAUUAUCUUCUUCUAGACCAGAAGGCAAGUGUGUGGUCAUUAUAGAUGUCACUCUGAGCCUAUAUUUAUUCAAUAAAUAUAAAGACGGUCAUUUAGCAGAACGCUUUUAACCAGGUUUGUGUAUUUGAUGUCAUUUUCCAGGUGUGGAACGUGGCACAGCCAUAUAUUGAGAGUUACAGUAUAAACUGAGUGGUUCAAGCCCUGAAUGCUAAUUGCCUGAAAGCCGUGGUAUACAUUUAUGUUUACUGCUCUAAUCAUGUUGGUAACCAGUUUAUAAAAGCAAUAAGGCACCUCAGGGGUUUGUGAUAUAUGGACAAUAUACCACGGCUAAGGGCUGUGUCCUAGCACUCCGCGUUGUGUUGUGCAUAAGAACAGCCAUUAGCCGUGUUAUAUUGGCCCUUUACCACACCCCCUCGGUGUAAGGGUUUUUUCUUCUGGUGAAAGAGAGGCGGACCAAAAUGCAGAGUGGUGGUUAUUCAUGUUUUUAAUAAAGACGACUAUACAUGAACAGACUAAACAAAACAAGAAAAGUGAAAACCUAAACAGUCCUAUCUGGUGCAAACACAGAGACAGGAACUAUCACCCACCAACACACAGUGAAACCCAGGCUACCUAAGUAUGAUUCUCAAUCAGAGACAACUAAUGACACCUGCCUCUGAUUGAGAACCAUACUAGGCAGAAACAUAGAAAUACCCAAAACCUAGAAAAACAAACAGACUGCCCACCCAACUCACGCCCUGACCAUA